Molecule: long non-coding RNA, 788 nt
Organism: Pseudophryne corroboree (corroboree frog)
Lineage: Eukaryota; Metazoa; Chordata; Amphibia; Anura; Myobatrachidae
Exons: 3
Source: RefSeq, a predicted model, not a curated record
GGAACGCACGCGACUUCGGGGUUGUAGAUAUCAGCGGCAGACCAUCUGCAAUAGUAAUAGUGAAUAAAGAGAAGAUGUGAUAUUAAGGUAUUAUAAAGUAAAUGAUGGUCUGGAGUGCCCGAAUAUGCAUAUCCGGUCACGUGACGGACCAGAAACAGGAAGCGGACUUUGAUAAAUAAGUGUUUAAAAUGUUAAUACCAGCGGCAGACCAUCAAUAAUCUUAAUAGAGAGUAUAUAUAAGAUGUUGCACUAAGGUAAACUAUAGUAAGUAAAUGUAGAGAAGGUUUAAAAUCGAUCUAGAACUACAUCCAAUCAGAUCACAUAGAGGGGUUUAUAAGGACCAUAUACCCCAACACACACACCACACAUCUUGAAAAAGGCUCUUGAAGGGCAGAAACGCGUUGGUGACUGAUUGGAGGGACCUUCUACUACCAGAGAGAAUUCAAACAGCCGAGAACCCCUAUCCGCUGACUGUUGCUGAAAAUCCCGGGAAGUGACAUCUCAUGUGUUUUCGGGUGGGCAAUUUGACACCCCACAAAUUCUGGAAAAAACCCAAUGACUAAAGGUCAAAGAGUCCGCCAUUACCACCUUCUCUGGCAGGGAAUUCCAAAUCCUUAUUGCCCUAACUGCGAAGAACCCUUUCCUACGUUGCAUAUGGAAUUUUCUCUCCUCCAGCCUCAGCGAGUGCUAUUCAGAGUUCUUUUAAUAAACAGAUCCUAUGAUAACUCUUGAUAAUGUCUCUUUACAUAUUUGAAGAUAUUAAUAAUGUCUCCUCUUAGACGCCUCUU